This 352-nucleotide long non-coding RNA is filed under the name Elaeis guineensis (African oil palm). RNAcentral describes it as "long non-coding RNA (EGUI_LNC003204)". Lineage: Eukaryota; Viridiplantae; Streptophyta; Magnoliopsida; Arecales; Arecaceae. The record is from RNAcentral.
UAGGAUCACACCAAAAGAAUUCUCUCCAAAAGUCUCAUAAUCUAAGAUUUGAUUUUGUACUCCAACAUAUGAAAAAAUCAAAUCUUAGGACAAGCAUACCUCACUUGCUAUUUUUCUCACCUCUCUUCUUUCUAUCUUUUCCACUUAAUUUUUUCUUGUCUUUUCUUUUGAUUUUUUAUAGAUUUUUUUUCUCCCUUAUCACAUGCCAAGAUCUUUGAAUUUUUAUCAAUUCUCAACCCUUAUCCCAUAAGAGGCACCCCAUUUAAAUAGAAAAUGAAGAGGUGUCAAGGAGACCCAAGGGGUGCCAACUCUUGACACUCCACUUCCCUCACAUAGAAAAAUUGUUUCUCUG